CAAACCACAACAACAUCCUCUGAUCUGAUCCUAAGAAAAAACUUAACCUAAUGGGAACAAUGAAAAACCUUGAAAGUGACCGUAGAUGUGGGCACCCCAACCAGACUUUGUGCAGAACAAGGAAAAAUAUAUAUAUAUAUAUCCACUCUGCAGCUAUAUAGUCAAAAAGAGCUGGCAUGUUCCACUCCUGUCACUGACAAAACACUUGAAGAGAUCAUCCACAGUCUGAGGUCAUCAACAUGCUGUCUUGAUGAGUUACCCACUAGAGUUCUAAAGUCUGUGCUGAUCAGUUUGUUACCACAAUUUGCUCAUCUAGUUAACAUCUCACUUCAGACUGGAACAUUCCCCAAGGCCUUAACGUUUCUGUCAUUACCCCCCUUUGAAAGAAGAGAAUUUUAGAUGUCACAUAAAUUAAUCACGUUUGGCCCAUAUCCAACCUGCCAUUCUUGGGCAGAGUCCUAGAAAAAGUUGUAUACCAACAACUCAGUGACUUUCUCCUGUUUAACAAUGUAUUUGAUACUUUCCAAUCGGGCUUUAGGCCCCACCCAGCACUGAAACAGCUCUGAUCAAGGUGACAAAUGAUGUCCGCCAGAACACAGACGCAGAAAAUGUCUUAGUCUAAUUAUAGAGGUUGGAAAACAUGGUGGGAAUAUCUGAUUCUGUCCUUCACUGGUUCAAGUCCUAUAUGGACCACAUUGUUGGAAUCGGCAUCUGUGGUAACCUUGAGACUCUCACCAUUAAAAUUAAUAAUCAGGUUAGAAAUCCAGGGGUAAUAAUGGACUCAAACUUGAACCUUAACAGCAACAUUAGGUCAAUAACAUCAGCAGCUUUUUACCAUCUGAAAAACAGCGCCAAAAACCGGGGGAAUAAUGUAUAAAUCAGACUCAGAAAGACUAAUCCAUACCUUUGUCCCCAGCAGGUUAGACUACUGUAAUGGCCUUCUCACUGAGCUCUCUAAAAUGCUGCUGCUUGAAUCCUGACUAGAAGCAGGAAUAUACGACCAGUGCUUAGGUCUCUGCACUGGCCUCGUGUUGCUCAGAGAAACAGCUCUCCUUUUGUACAAAUCUUUUCAUGGUCUUGUGCCAAAGUACAUCUUUGACAUGUUAGAACCAUAUGAACCAUCUCGGGCUCUGAGAACCUCAGGGAGUGGUCUCCUGCUGGUUUCCAGAGUCAGGACAAAGUAUGGUGAGGCUGUGUUUCAGUUUUGUGCUCCUAAAAUCUUGAAGAGUCCUCCAAAAGAUGGGAGACACACCUUUAGAAAUGUCCAAAUGCAGGCUAAAAACAUUUUUAUUUAACUGUUCAUAUGACAACUUAAAUUAUUUUGUCUACACUAUUUGAUGUUAUUUUAAAUGUUGAUUGUUUUUAUGAUGAUUUUAUUCUAUGGUUUGAAUUUGAAUUAUGAUUACUUUUCAGAUUAUUCUGGUUUUAUUUUUGCUUCCUUAUAAAUUUCUGUAAAGCACUUUGAAUUGUGUUGUGUACAAAUUGUGCUCUAUAAAUAAACUUGCCUUGCCCAUUUAUGAGAGGCAUUCCACUCUUCCACUACCACCACAUUCCCCUACUUGGACUAACUGCCCACAAUUUGUUGCCAGAGACAUCUCGGGGAUUUUGAGUCUUUCUGCGCUACAUUUGAGUUCAGUGUGUACAGUUUUUAAAAUCAUAUUAUUAAUGAUAAACGAUUAAUCUGCAUUAAGGUGCACAUUUUGACAGCCCUUGCUAAACAAAACAAUGUUUACAGUCAACUGGUACAACAAGUUUUACAUGUUGGAGAUAUACUUCCUGCUUGUCCUACCAUCAUGAAACAUUUUGAUUUUUAACAAACUAAAUCUGAAUCAAAACAUUUUAAACAAUUUACAUUGUAUUUUUCCCCUGUAACUCCAUAAAAUUGGUAAAGAACCACUACUGCCUGGUGGGAUAUUAACUGUUUUUCUUUUAAAGAAACUUGUAUGAACAAGGUACUUGAAUAAAUGCAUCAUUGACAACAACACCUUACAGAAAUACCAAUAUUAAUAAACUGUACAACCUACAAAACAUAUCAACAUGGAAUUAUAUCAAAAAUAUAUACUUAUCACCACAAACACAAGAGUAUUUAUAAAACAUGAUGACAUAACUUACCUAAAAUGAGGGAAGUCAUGAAAUAAACUAAGACAUGUUGAGUCAUUCUUGAUGAUCAGCAUUCACAAAAAUCUAUUUGAAUACAAGUCCAUGUUUUUUUCAUGAACUGCUACCGAACUGAUAUUUACAGGUGUCUAUGAGGCUGUGAUUUGUCAAAAGUGAAACCAGUCAGUGAAACAUCAGCAGUAGACUUUCACAACAAGAGCAGAACAACGAGGUAUAAUUGGCACUGCGCUCUUAAAUUGUUGCUCAUCUUGUUAUGGACUGAGAAGAGAAGGUGGCGACAAUCGGUUUACCAGGUUUAUGGAAACCAAUGUUCCCUCUAAUUUUUCAUGUUUGAGCAUUCAGGGGAGCACAUGUGAGCAAUAUCAGAUGUGCACACUGUGGCCACACAAGCGUCACACGCUUGUACAGUAGAUGGCAGUAUUGUCCUGUUUAAGAGUGUCACAACAUUGCUGUUUACGGCAGCCGAACUGCUUUACGGUACACGAAAACGUGACUGCUGUUGUUGUGUGUUGUUACCGCGCUGGGAGGACGUUAAUGAAACUGCCUAACAAUAAACCCACGUAAGAAACCAAGAACUCGACCUCAAUCAUUCUGCAGUUAUGACGUCAUUGGGCAGACACGCUGUUUGUAUUGUGGGAUAGCGGAUGUGAAAACAGGCUGUCCUCACUCAGGUCCGCAUGGAGCUGGAGGGGGCGAGGCCUCCAGCUCCGCCUGAAUUUCGGGAGAUUUUCGGGAGAAAAUUUGUCCCGGGAGGUUUUCGGGAGAGGCGCUGAAUUUCGGGAGUCUCCCGGAAAAUCCAGGAGGGUUGGCAAGUAUUUUCAAAGCGUAGGAUAAAAGUAUUAUAGUCCAAAAUUGAGGGUACAUUUAACAGCCUUUUCUUCUUUGUUGGGUUUGGUUCCUUUCGAUGUCUGAUCCAAACCACCAGUUGUAUCUUCUUUAACACAAACAUGACUUGUUGACAUACAUGAAGCAUAAAAGCUUGGAAACAAAUGUUCUUGUUUGUUUGCAGUCCUGAGCAGGAAGUCCAGAAGAUCUUCAAAUCCAAACACCCAAUGGACACUGAGGUCACCAAAGCCAAGAUUAUAGGUUUUGGUGUGGGUUUGCUGGAGGGCGUUGAUCCUAACCCUGCAAACUUUGUCGGAGCUGGAGUGGUCCACACUAAAUGUUCUCAGGUGGGAUGCACUGCUACGCUCUUGGAAGCCCAGCACACUAGUGAUAUAUAUAAAUAUAUAUAUUAGCUUUUUGCACUUUUGAAGGGCAGUAUGACAUCACACCCGAGACCUUUGCCAUGGUGCCGCCUUUACACUCUUCUUCUACACACACUUUGUACUGUAGCUCACUCUGGUGCCUUUGUCUCACUGAAACACUAGCAGCACAGUGCCUCACUACUUCUACCUGAAUGCACACACUAAAUAUUUCUAUUUUCACCGCCUUCACUUUAAAUGCUCCUCACUGCCUUUGGAGGUAUUUUUUUUCAACUGUUUGAAAAUAAAACCAGGCCAGGUCCGUCUGUUCUAUACAAUUACUGAAAUAUGUAUCGUCUUAACAGUGGUUCUCAAUCUUUAAAAACAACAUUUGGCUUUCCAAGAACCUUCAUACUUUUUUGAUCAUAGACUUAGACAAACUUUAAUGAUCCACAAGGGAAAUUGUUCCACACAGUAGCUCAGUUACAAUGAUGGAAAGUGUAAGAAUGGAAAGGACAAUGCAGGUAAAAAUAGACUAUAGUGAUAUAAAUUAUAUACACAAUAUUUACAUCAUAUAUGUACAGUUUCAUAUCUAUUUAUUUGAAAACGUUUUCAAUCAAGCUUUAUUGCAGACUCCAACGUCCAGGUAGACUAUUCAGUCUAAGCCUGGGCCCCUGGAGAGGAGGUCCAGACUAAGGCCAACGGAAAAAACUCAUAGUUAAAGCACACAUAAGCAUGUGUGUAAGAGGGAAACAUCAAAGAACACAAAGGACAUUAAAAGAGCAUAGCUGAUGCAACCAGCCAUUUCUAUAUACAGCUACAAAAAAAUAUAUAUAAAAUAAAAAAAAAUGUAUACACUGUGGUGGCCUCUGCGGUAUUCCACGCCAUCAUCUGCUGGGGUCGGGGGAACAUGGCCAGAGACAGGAGCAGACCCAACAAAGCAACCAAGAGAGCCACUCGGCCGCUCACUAACUCUCGGCCAGUGUCCAGUCUGCAUGGAUGAGUGAGGAUGCGUCCAAGGAGACCGAGGUGUCCGAUACCUGCUCAUUCAGCCAAGACACUGUGAAGCCCGUCCGUCCCGGCGCUCAGCACCAGCUCCGCAGCUCUGUCUCUUCAUCCGCGUCUCCUCCAGUCUCUCCAAACGGACUCUGGUGUGGCAGAGACCCAGCAGCUGGUCUCCAUGUCCAAAAGGCUCCCGGGAGGCAGAUCCAGAAGUCCACAAAAAAGCCCCACAGAAGUCUCGAAAGUGUCACCCCUUGUCAGACAGUCCCAAAGGGUCCCGAACCAAAAGGAAAAAAACAAAUCCCACAUGAAAACAAGAAGGAAACACCAGGAACACAGAAGGAUGACACAAGAGCACAGAGCUCCUGCCACCAGCAGCCACUACAGCGGCAACAUCUUGGGGAAAAAAAAAAUUAUCCAGUUGUUGGAGAAUUUGUCAGAUAGGCACCAGCGACCCCAAAGGGAAUAAGCGGUAGAAAAUGCAUGAAUGGAUGUUGCUACAACCUCCAUUUUUGUUUCAAAAUAGCCUUUUAACAUAGAUGGCUUCCUUCACUCAUUUUUCAAAAUGUUAGUUCUUUAUGUUUAAGUAAAUGUCUUUGUUUUCUCCCUGAAGUAUUCCUUAUUUUUGAAUAUGUAGAACUGGUUCCUGGCCAAGUGUUGCAACGACUGACUGUCACUCCACUGCAGUCAUGCAUUUCCUCCGAAUUUUUCAGAAGUUAAUCUUGCUGAUCAUUGCUGGUAUCUGAAAGUUCAGUGAUAGUGUUUAAGUGUGUUGAAGAGGAAUGAAGUGCAGGAACAGAAGCAGUGAGUAGCAUGGCUCCUUCUGAAUCCAUCUUCUCAUCCUCAGUCAACACGUUCAGUCCUAAAACACACCAAAAAAGGUAAAAAUGCACAACAUUCUGAAACGGGAUGAAAAAAUAAUAUCUUGAAGCAGAACACAAUAAGUGUAAUGACUUAGUUUACCUGAGUUGGAGGGAAGAGUGAGUACUUGGACUAAGAAGGAUGUCUUUUCAUCACGCUCUUUGGACACUGAAACAACAACACAAAGAUAAUUACAUUCCAAUCACCUUAGUGAGGUAAGGAAACUAACAUCCCAACAAGGUAUUAAUUACAUUUAAAUAAAUAACUAAUGUGA
Molecule: long non-coding RNA, 5439 nt
Organism: Nerophis ophidion (straightnose pipefish)
Lineage: Eukaryota; Metazoa; Chordata; Actinopteri; Syngnathiformes; Syngnathidae
Exons: 2
Source: RefSeq, a predicted model, not a curated record